RNAcentral lists this ribosomal RNA (497 nucleotides) under uncultured bacterium. RNAcentral describes it as "partial 16S ribosomal RNA". It matches the Rfam family "Bacterial small subunit ribosomal RNA", at positions 28 to 507 of the family's 1533-position model. The record is from RNAcentral.
GAUGAACGCUGGCGGCGUGCCUAAUACAUGCAAGUCGAGCGAACGGACGAGAAGCUUGCUUCUCUGAUGUUAGCGGCGGACGGGUGAGUAACACGUGGAUAACCUACCUAUAAGACUGGGAUAACUUCGGGAAACCGUAGCUAAUACCGGAUAAUAUUUUGAACCGCAUGGUUCAAAAGUGAAAGACGGUCUUGCUGUCACUUAUAGAUGGAUCCGCGCUGCAUUAGCUAGUUGGUAAGGUAACGGCUUACCAAGGCAACGAUGCAUAGCCGACCUGAGAGGGUGAUCGGCCACACUGGAACUGGGACACGGUCCAGACUCCUACGGGAGGCAGCAGUAGGGAAUCUUCCGCAAUGGGCGAAAGCCUGACGGAGCAACGCCGCGUGAGUGAUGAAGGUCUUCGGAUCGUAAAACUCUGUUAUUAGGGAAGAACAUAUGUGUAAGUAACUGUGCACAUCUUGACGGUACCUAAUCAGAAAGCCAGGGCUAACUACGUG